Long non-coding RNA from Pipra filicauda (Wire-tailed manakin), 279 nucleotides. RefSeq lists it as uncharacterized. The transcript is spliced from 3 exons. Lineage: Eukaryota; Metazoa; Chordata; Aves; Passeriformes; Pipridae. The record is from RefSeq and is a predicted model, not a curated record.
UGAGCUGUAGGAUUUGGCUGUUUUGUUCCUACAAUCACACAAUCUACAAAUAGAGAUUUUAUUCUCAAACUGCGAAUUCAACUUAUUAAAUCACUCACAGGAGGAGGUUCUAUCUAUGAGGCCUUCUGCUAACCACAAAGUUAGUUUGGUGAAGGUGCUAAAGAGCCAUCUGAAAGUCUCGGAUUGACAAAUGCAGGUGACACAGCUGCUGCCUCCCUGGACGGAGAUGCACACCUGGUUUGUAGAGAACAGCUCUUAGUGACACUGCAGAGCCUUGGU